CUCAGAACGAACGCUGGCGGCGUGCCUAACACAUGCAAGUCGAACGGAGGUAAGGGGCUUGCUCCUUAUUUUAGUGGCGCACGGGUGAGUAACGCGUGGAUAAUCUACCUUGGAAUCUGGGAUAACAUUUCGAAAGGGGUGCUAAUACCGGAUAAGACCACGAGCUCUUUGGAGUUUGCGGUAAAAGGGGGCCUCUGUAUAUGCUUCUGUUUCAAGAUGAGUCCGCGUACCAUUAGCUAGUUGGCAGGGUAAUGGCCUACCAAGGCGACGAUGGUUAGCUGGUCUGAGAGGAUGAUCAGCCACACUGGAACUGAGACACGGUCCAGACUCCUACGGGAGGCAGCAGUGGGGAAUUUUGCGCAAUGGGGGAAACCCUGACGCAGCAACGCCGCGUGAGUGAUGAAGGCCUUCGGGUCGUAAAGCUCUGUCAGAGGGAAAGAAG
RNAcentral lists this ribosomal RNA (442 nucleotides) under uncultured bacterium. RNAcentral describes it as "bacterial SSU rRNA". It matches the Rfam family "Bacterial small subunit ribosomal RNA", at positions 23 to 450 of the family's 1533-position model. The record is from RNAcentral.